AAUUCAAAUUUCAGGACCUUUAUUUUCUUCCCAAACAACCCAAUUCUGAGUCCACAUCUGUUAAUGACAAGUCCAUCCAAAUUCUCCUAAAACAGCCCAUCAGCAACACAAUUUCCUGCAGACAUACUACGCACACGCGCAUCAAUUCCAAACGACCCCCACCCCUGCGUCUUUCUUUUCUUCUUCAACAGUCCAGAACAAUGACCAAACCCAGAAAUCGACAGCCCUAAAAAACGCGACCCGAGUCCAGCAAAUAAGCAGUUGCGUGGCCCUCUCCUCUCUCAUUAUCUUCUCCGUAGGGUGGAGCAAUCUCGCACCUCAAGCGUCCUUGCUCCAAGAUUUGACGGCUCAAUUCUUUUUUCCGUUCAAGUUUGUUGAAGAAUCCAAUGAUGCGAAAAGCAUCAAGGGAUAUUCCUUAUCUCUUGGGAUGUUUUAAAUUUCGAAUUGAAAUCCCAAAAGAAUUUCUCCCUCCCGUUUCCGACCAUUUUUUCCCUCAUUCUCAUCUAUAAAUACUGCUCUUCUUCUCUAUUGUUGGGGUUUUUUUUCUGAAAUUUUUUUUAGUGACAUUCAGAAAUUAGCUACAAUACUACAUAGAAAAUAUACAUAGAAAAUACAAAAAUUUUGAGGUAAAAACGGACCCGAAUCAGACAAGUAAUAUAAAGGAUACUCAACGUCCUCUCUCUGUUUUCGUGGUCUCAUUUUGGUGGAAGAAUCGUCUUCGUGUUAAGCUCGUCGUCUCCGGUCGCUGCCCACAACAAGGAGAGCCGUAAAGGCUCAAUUGUUUCAUCGAGUCAGCCAUAAAAAUCGAUGAACAGGUCCCGGAAUUGAAGAAUACGUGCAAACCAAAGAGUUGGGAGAUUUCGGACCAAGAUUCAAAAUUUAUUUUAAAUAUUGUAUUCCGUUAUGUAGGGCAUAAGCCCUCGUUUUGUAUUAUUAUUUUUUGCUAGAAACUUAGGACAGGUACAAUUGAAGUGGGUCAAAAACCCAAAACAAAAAUGGGUCUAAAUAUCGGUUCAGGCGAACAGAAAUCGGAUUUGAACCCAA
Molecule: long non-coding RNA, 1044 nt
Organism: Solanum pennellii
Lineage: Eukaryota; Viridiplantae; Streptophyta; Magnoliopsida; Solanales; Solanaceae
Exons: 2
Source: RefSeq, a predicted model, not a curated record